AUAAAAAAAAUAACGACAGACCUCACUCCUCACUCCUGACAGCGCUCCACUCUCUCUCGACACAAACCCGAAACCUUUGCUCUAUCUCUUCUUCGACAAAGCUCUCUCUCUCUCUCUCUCUCUCUGUCUCUCCCUCCUCGACAAACCCCAACCAAAGCGCUCUCUCUCUUCGACAAAACCCGACCAAAACUUAAUGGGUAAUUCGAGCUCUACUCCGACCGGGCUCAGGCCAACAUCAAAUCCAAAAAUCUCACAGAGGCAGUAGAAAACCUAAUGGGUAACCUCUAGGGUUCUUCAGAUCUUUCGACAGUGGUGUGUUGCAUUUGGCGGAAUCGAAAUUUAGCUAUGGGUAACUGAGAUUUGAAUUCGAACAUUGGAGCUGUGGAUUUGGGAUUGAAGGCAAAAUGUCAAAUUGGGGCUAAGAAGGUAACUAAGAAGGUUUCUGGAGUUGUGAAGCUGCUGCCGAUGGGGCGGUUGGUUCAUGCACUUGACUCUUCACUGCUCUUCUCAAAUGACAACCUCCGAAUUUCGCCAAUCUCACACUCCAACCUGAGAUUUGCA
Rosa rugosa (rugosa rose) is the source of this 561-nucleotide long non-coding RNA. RefSeq lists it as uncharacterized. Lineage: Eukaryota; Viridiplantae; Streptophyta; Magnoliopsida; Rosales; Rosaceae. The record is from RefSeq and is a predicted model, not a curated record. The transcript is spliced from 3 exons.